Molecule: long non-coding RNA, 1035 nt
Filed under: Homo sapiens (human)
Lineage: Eukaryota; Metazoa; Chordata; Mammalia; Primates; Hominidae
Description: HSALNT0154024
Source: RNAcentral
AACCCAGGAGGCGGAGGUUUCAGUGAGCCGAGAUCGCACCAUUGCACUCCAAGCUGGGUGACAAGAGCAAAACUCCGUCUCAAAAAAACAAAAAAAGAAAAGAAUCUGGGCUGACUUUGACCAGUAGAAUGUGGUAGAAAUAAAGGGCAAGUUCCAAGCUAGUCCUCAAGAGUCUCUGCACCUAUCUCUCUUGGUGCAGGUGGAACUGUAAGACAACCAUCUGAAGGAGCCCAAGAUAGCCUCCUGGAGGUCUUGUAGAGGAGAACUGAUGCAUGGGAGAGCCCAGAAGAUCAGCAGAACUGUACACCUGAACCUAGCUCAAAUUGUCCAUCUAAGAACUAUAGCAAGUCUGUCAAAGAGAAGACACCUCUGGCUAUGCUAAGCACAUCCAACAAUGAAUGAGGAUGUGAGGUAGACCAGACCCUGGAAUGGUUGUGACUCUCUAAGAUCUUCUGCAAAUAAUGCUGCACUCGUAGCUAAACACAGCUCUACAACAGACGCCUUUUAGCCAACUGACUAAACGCUGGACAUGUUGACUGAGCCCCCAGUUUUUGGAAAUCCCUACUUCCUUGCUCGGAAACCUUGCUGUCUCUUAUUUCCUCUUCUCUAGGCCUUGCUCGGAAACCUUGCUGUCUCUUAUUUCCUCUUCUCUCGGCCACCGGCCAUCGGUGUGGCUGGUCCCCGGGUCCCAGGCUCUGAGCUCUGCUCUUCAUAGAAGAGGCUUUUUCGCCCCAAUGCACUUGAAUGACCUCUUUCAGCCCUGGGCGCUGAGCUUCAGGCCAUGAGGACAAAUACCUCCCGGAUGACUCCCCGGAGUCCCCAGGUCCGCAGCCGAACUCAUCAUUUCCCCAAACCUGUUCCCCCUCCUCUCUACCUCGGCGGGUGGCAGCGCCGUCCACCCUGUCACGACGACAGAAACCCGAGCAUCCUGGCUCUCCUCCCUCUCGCUCUCAUCCUACCAAUCCAUCACCAAUUCGCCGCCCUGCGGUGGCCUCCCCAGCCCUGGGUCCACCCUCCCGGCCCGCGCGUCGCCGG